Long non-coding RNA from Oryctolagus cuniculus (rabbit), 1030 nucleotides. RefSeq lists it as uncharacterized. The record is from RefSeq and is a predicted model, not a curated record. Lineage: Eukaryota; Metazoa; Chordata; Mammalia; Lagomorpha; Leporidae.
GCCACGCCCCCUUGGGGCGGGCCGAGAGGCGCCCGGCGGAGGCGGGGCUUGGGCGCAGGGACGCCGCGGGCGCAGCUGGGCGAGUCCCGCCUCCUCCCUCCGCUCGCUCUGCUAAGCUUCCAAAGGGAGCUGGACAAGUGCCCGCCAUAUUUUCUCACUGUCGUUGUCCCUGCUUACUGUUCACUGACAAUCCCUGUUUACUUUCCUGAUCGACUUUCUCCGGAGAAAUAACCACAACUGUAAUGUCAGGGGACAGAUAGUCACGGCCAGUGACGGCAGCCCAAGCGCCUCUCGCUGAGGUCAGUCCCUUCCACUUCCACACCUGCCUCCCGCCUGGAGGGCUUCUCCACACCCAGGCCCUGCCUGCCGCCCGCUCCCACCUGGCCCCGCCACUAGGUGUUGCGACACAGGUGAUCCCUUAAGAGCUGGUGGGUGGGGGAAGACCCACCAAGGCCCGCCCCCACCAGCAGGUGCUGAGCUAGAUAAGACCCUGCGAACUGGAGGCCGAAAUACACUCUGCCUGCCCAAGCCGCUCCUGAAGCUAAGGAGCAGCUGACUCGUACAGCUAGCCGUCUUUAUCUUCUGUGGUCUCCAGGCUGCCUCAUCCCCACUCUUCCUCACCAGGCCCAGAGGACAGCAGCCGCGUCAGCGCUCCGCCCUCUCCUCUCCACGCGGUUCCGUCUCCUUGCGUAUCCGAUUCUCCACGGGAACCUCAGGAUUUCUGCACACUCUGCUGCUUUAGAGCCCUGCUCUCCGAUUCAUCACAAACAACGUGAAGACACAGACGAGUCUGGAGAGGAGACAGCUCCCCUCAUUUCACCUCUCAGAGCUCUGCGGCUUCCAGAACUGAGAUCUGAAACACAACUCUGCUGUUCACAUCUAUACAAGCACUCUGACAUCGAAAGGGGAGGCAGGGUCGCAGGCGCCCAGAGAUGGGUCUUCCAGUGCUAGUGGUGGAUUUCUGUUAACCCUUUCAAUUCUGCAAGACUAUGGGUUACUCUCUGUGUUAUAAAAAUUUACAUAAUCAGGU